AGUGAACGCUGGCGGUAGGCCUAACACAUGCAAGUCGAACGGCAGCACAGUAAGAGCUUGCUCUUACGGGUGGCGAGUGGCGGACGGGUGAGGAAUACAUCGGAAUCUACUUUUUCGUGGGGGAUAACGUAGGGAAACUUACUCUAAUACCGCAUACGACCUACGGGUGAAAGCAGGGGAUCUUCGGACCUUGCGCGAUUGGAUGAGCCGAUGUCGGAUUAGCUAGUUGGCGGGGUAAAGGCCCACCAAGGCGACGAUCCGUAGCUGGUCUGAGAGGAUGAUCAGCCACACUGGAACUGAGACACGGUCCAGACUCCUACGGGAGGCAGCAGUGGGGAAUAUUGGACAAUGGGCGCAAGCCUGAUCCAGCCAUACCGCGUGGGUGAAGAAGGCCUUCGGGUUGUAAAGCCCUUUUGUUGGGAAAGAAAAGCAGCAGGUUAAUACCCCGCUGUUCUGACGGUACCCAAAGAAUAAGCACCGGCUAACCUCGUG
RNAcentral lists this ribosomal RNA (492 nucleotides) under uncultured bacterium. RNAcentral's name for it is "partial 16S ribosomal RNA". It matches the Rfam family "Bacterial small subunit ribosomal RNA", at positions 29 to 507 of the family's 1533-position model. The record is from RNAcentral.